RNAcentral lists this ribosomal RNA (486 nucleotides) under uncultured bacterium. RNAcentral describes it as "bacterial SSU rRNA". It matches the Rfam family "Bacterial small subunit ribosomal RNA", at positions 28 to 524 of the family's 1533-position model. The record is from RNAcentral.
GACGAACGCUGGCGGCGUGCUUAACACAUGCAAGUCGAGCGGUAAGGCUCCUUCGGGAGUACACGAGCGGCGAACGGGUGAGUAACACGUGAGCAAUCUGCCCUUCACUUUGGGAUAACUUCGAGAAAUCGGAGCUAAUACCGAAUGCGACCACUUCAGGCAUCUGAUGGUGGUGGAAAGUUCCGGCGGUGAAGGAUGAGCUCGCGGCCUAUCAGCUUGUUGGUGGGGUAAUGGCCCACCAAGGCUUCGACGGGUAGCCGGCCUGAGAGGGUGACCGGCCACACUGGGACUGAGACACGGCCCAGACUCCUACGGGAGGCAGCAGUGGGGAAUAUUGCGCAAUGGGCGAAAGCCUGACGCAGCCACGCCGCGUGAGUGAUGAAGGCCUCGGGUUGUAAAGCUCUGUCGGGAGGGAAGACGGGAGAAAGUCCCAGACGGUACCUCGCAGAAAGCACCGGCUAACUCUGUGCCAGCAGCCGCGGUAAU